Rosa rugosa (rugosa rose) is the source of this 1736-nucleotide long non-coding RNA. RefSeq lists it as uncharacterized. The record is from RefSeq and is a predicted model, not a curated record. NCBI's taxonomy places the organism in Eukaryota, Viridiplantae, Streptophyta, Magnoliopsida, Rosales, Rosaceae. The transcript has 6 exons.
CUCUCUUAUACAUAUCACUUUGUCUCAGCGGCUCAGAACCAGAUCGGAACCGGCGGCUUCAGCUUCUUCAUCGCUCAGUAGCUCUUGCUCUCUCUUUCUCUCUGCGCGCGCGGCUGCUCUGAAGACUGAAACCAGAUCUUUCCGAACCAAAAGAAAACCCCCAAAGCCUUCUCUCUCAGCCUCUCUCACAUCUAGCCCUAAAUCGCUCUUCGUUGGGUGGAGAAAUAGAAGAGGUUGUAUAAGCUAGAGAGUUGUUGGAAAUGACUGCUGAAGCUUUGCAAGUUGCUAAGGCAUACCGCCACCUUCUCAAAGCUGUCAAGAACCACGUUUCCAAAGAAGACACUAAGCGGCAUUUCAGAGAUUAUGUAACUGAAGAAUUUAGAUUCACAUGAAAAACCCAGUCCAGACUAUCUGCUGCAACAAUAGAUUCUCUCAAGUUGUUUUGGAUAUGACUAUCUGACUAUCAUGAGGCUGGGUCAGAUCUGGCACUUACAAGCGAGGUAUCUGAUAUUAUGUUCUUGCUUAUGUGAACCUGGGAAGAAGUUCUCAGAUACUAUGGAGUUUCCUACCUAAUUGAUUUUUUCCUGUGGUUUUCUUUGAAAUUUGCAGGUAUUUGAGCAAUUAUGGUUCCAGGGUAGUGGUAAACAAUUCUGGUGUGGAAGAAAACAAGGAAAAGACAGUGGUUAUCUAAAGCUUGACUUGUACGAGAAUUCUGUUAUCUAAAGUUGGGUUACUGCAUAUUUACCUUGCUAGCAAUCUAAUUUCAUGGUAUAAUUUCUUCAUUUUGUUUCUGUUUUUACUAGCCUUUCUGUUUAUACUUUUGAAGUAUGUCAUUAGUUAUAAUAUCAGUUGUUAGGGAUUCUGCUUAGUGCUUAUUUACUUGGGGUACAUGCCAUGGAUAAUUGUGUCAUUUGUUUAUUUUUGGAUUUCAUAGUGGAAUGGAUGCUAAGGGUUACUACUUUUUCUUUUCAUUUACAAAUGCAUUAGAGUUAUCUGUUUUGUUCUUGUUCGUUAUUGUCUUCGCUAUUGUGAUGUGAGAUCAAUAUAUUCUAAGCUGCAGCAUAACAGAAUGUUUGCUAUAGUCUCUACCUAAUUUCAUUUUUCCUGCAGCUUUGUUGUUGGUUGGGAAUUGCAGGGAUCAGCUGUGUAUAAGUUCAAGGCCUAUUGGCAAUGACGUAAUUAGCAUUUAUUUGGGAACAAUCUUCUUGCAAGGAAAGGAGAGGGCUGGAAAUCCUGAGACAUUGAGUCUAAAGCUAGGAAGUGACAUUAUUUUAACUGAAAAGGUUCAACCCUGCGGUGGUAUUUGGAGUGACAACUGCUCUUUGAAAAUGGGAAGAAGACGCCCCUUCAUACUUGCAGGAUCUCUCAUUAUCUCUGUUGCCAUAAGUCAAUCAUUGCAAUUCUAGAGCUGCGUGCUAGGUGGGGGAACAGGAACUCAGCUAGCUUGCAUGAAUUUUGUUUUUUGGGGAAUUGCAGGUAACCCUUAUCUUUUUCAUGUGUUGGAUGUCUAUGUGUCCUCAGUCCUACAAUUGUUUCAAGUGAUACAUUAUUGCCAAUAUUUGUUAGCAUCUGUUUGCCCGUUGCUGUUGUUCACAUAUAUAUACCUUUAUUAAUUUAUCAAUGAUGAAUAUACAUACUAGUAUCAACUUGUAAAAGAAACACUAGCUUUGAUGACACUUGGUUUGAAAUUUCCUCUCAUACUGCCACUCUCUUUGUAAUAUGAUUAUAAAGAAUGG